This 1173-nucleotide long non-coding RNA is filed under the name Cricetulus griseus (Chinese hamster). Its description in RNAcentral is "lncRNA (ENSCGRG00015043097.1)". Lineage: Eukaryota; Metazoa; Chordata; Mammalia; Rodentia; Cricetidae. The record is from RNAcentral.
GCUUGAGUAUUUCUGUCCCAGUUGCCUGCUUUGUAUCAACAAGCACCUCUCUCCUCAGCCACUCACAGCCCUGUCCUCUCUACAUCCAAUGCCAAGGUCUGGGGAUCCUCACUGGGACACUCAGCCUUGGGUUGGCCCAAUCAGGACUUAGACCCAAUCGGGAGAGACAGCCCCUGGCUUCUCUUCUCCAGGCCUUGAAGUAAAGACUGGGCGUGCUCCUUUUCACCAGUGCUGACAGCCCAGAAGAUGAAGCUGAGGAGCAGGUGAAGUUGACUGAAUGCCAUACUUCCUGCCUCUUCUCAAGACCCCAUGGAGGCUUUCCAGAGGAUGCCCUCUGCUUAGCAGUAAAACCAAUGCCUGUCCUGGGUGGGAAGGGAUUGAAGACAGAGCAGCUCAGAUCCUGCCUCCCAGGGGCUUCAGACCUGGCGUAUGUGACAAGACAGCUUGUGACACAGGUGACCUGAGAGAGGGAAUGAAGUCCCAAGUGGAAGCCAGCAGCGGCUAUAUGGAACUGCCCAGCCUGUCUGAGGAAGAUCCUGGCCCAAGUCCAGAAGCCAGGAGCUAAGCCCAAGCAGCCCCUACUCACAGGAGGAUGCUAGAACAUCUAAGGAUGCCCAGAACUCUCUCUUCACAGUCAGGACUGACUUAGCAGCCCUGUGGGAUGGGCUUAGGGGCAAUUGUGGCACCAUUUCACAGACUGAGACCCUGAAGUCCAGAGGCAUGGAUGUACUGCAGUCAGUGGUACAUGCAUCCUUGGGGACAUGCACCCCUGUUUUUGUUAGAGUUAGUUCUGGUCAAGAGUCUAGAAUGUCUGGCCUAGGUGGAGGUCUAACAUUCCAGCUGGGCCAUGUCAUUCACUCAGCCAAGGGAACAGUCCUGUGGUGGUGGGCUCACCUUAAGCCGUGCUAAAGAGAUGGGCAGAAUAACUAGCAUUUAGUGAGAUACUGUACUUUUCCUUGCAGAAUCCCAGCCUCUAGUGCAGUUGCUUAGGGCUACAGCCAUGUAACAUGUCUAAGUCUGCCCUGUCCAUUUUCCUGAAUUAUUCAGAAAAAGUGUAACUUCUCCUUCUCUCCUUUCUGCCUCUUUUCUAAGCAUUAUUUCUUUUCAGGCUUUCCCUCCAACACUUUGGAUUUCCCUACACUUUCCCUAAAGCCUCACUUCUCACCAGAGAGC